GCUGCCAUGGUCUAGUGGCUAAUGUUGCUGUUUUAGAAUUUCAUGGCGUGGGUUCGAUUCCCUCUGCUGUCU
Non-coding RNA from Caenorhabditis brenneri, 72 nucleotides. The record is from the annotation of a GenBank genome assembly. NCBI's taxonomy places the organism in Eukaryota, Metazoa, Nematoda, Chromadorea, Rhabditida, Rhabditidae.